GAAACCCUCUCACAAAAUAAUUUUUGUUAAUUAUUUAGUGGAUGUUGAGUGUUGCUGUCAUUAGCUCACUUUAAAUAUAUCAGUCACUUUUUUUUUUUUUUUUCAAAUAAGUUGGAUUGACUUGGUGUAAUAAUUUUUUCAUCAAGGAAAGUAGCAAUACUUGCCAGCUUUUGUUUUGAAAAAAAAAAAAAAAGAAGACUUCUAAAAACCCAAAAUUAAUCUUU
RNAcentral lists this unclassified non-coding RNA (224 nucleotides) under Puccinia horiana. Its description in RNAcentral is "internal transcribes spacer 2". The record is from RNAcentral. Lineage: Eukaryota; Fungi; Basidiomycota; Pucciniomycetes; Pucciniales; Pucciniaceae.